AACGUAGGAACCGAGCGUUAUCCGAAUUCACUGGGCGUAAAGAGCGAGCAGGCGGUUGGGCAAGUUGGAUGUGAAAGCCUCCGGCUCAACUGGGAGAGGACGUACAAAACUACCCAACUAGAGGGCGGCAGAGGGAGGUGGAAUUCCCGGUGUAGUGGUGAAAUGCGUAGAUAUCGGGAGGAACGCCAGAGGCGAAGGCGGCCUCCUGGGCCGUGCCUGACGCGGAGGAGCGGAAGCUAGGGGCGCGAAGGGG
Molecule: ribosomal RNA, 253 nt
Filed under: uncultured bacterium
Lineage: Bacteria
Description: partial 16S ribosomal RNA
Rfam family: Bacterial small subunit ribosomal RNA
Source: RNAcentral